This 298-nucleotide RNase P RNA is filed under the name Nitrososphaerota archaeon. Its description in RNAcentral is "RNase P RNA component". It matches the Rfam family "Archaeal RNase P". Rfam says of the family: Ribonuclease P (RNase P) is a ubiquitous endoribonuclease, found in archaea, bacteria and eukarya as well as chloroplasts and mitochondria. Lineage: Archaea; Thermoproteati; Nitrososphaerota. The record is from RNAcentral.
GCAAGCGGUCGGGCAGGUUACGGGGGCAACCCUGAGGAAGCUCCUCCCUCCGGCUGGGGGGCCUGGUGCGGCGACGCACAGCAGGAGACUGUUGGCUCUGGAACAGAAACGAUACCCGCCAGCUAAAUGACGGUGAAAGGCGCCUUCAGGCGCCUGGAGGAUUGUUGGGAAAGGGAUGAAACGGCCAACCCAGGCAGAGCAAGGCCAAAUCGGACCAAUCAAGCACCCUCAGGCGAGGUCCGGGUAGGCCACAUAGUCAAAUCCUGCCUGAACAGAAGGAGGGCUACGAGCCGCAUGC